RNAcentral lists this ribosomal RNA (904 nucleotides) under uncultured Candidatus Poseidoniales archaeon. Its description in RNAcentral is "SSU rRNA". It matches the Rfam family "Archaeal small subunit ribosomal RNA", at positions 1 to 923 of the family's 1478-position model. Lineage: Archaea; Methanobacteriati; Thermoplasmatota; Candidatus Poseidoniia; Candidatus Poseidoniales. The record is from RNAcentral.
UUCUGGUUGAUCCUGCCAGAGGCGACCGCUUUUGGAGUUCGAUUAAGCCAUGCGAGUCGAGAGCCUUAGGGGCUCGGCAUACUGCUCAGUAACACGUGGAUAACCUGCCCUAUUGUCUGGAAUAACCUCGGGAAACUGAGAACAAGGCCGGAUAACCCACAAUGCCUGGAACGGUUUGUGGGUGAAGAUAGGAUGGGUCUGCGGCGUAUCAGGUCGUAGGGGGUGUAAUGGACCUCCUAGCCAUCGACGCGUACGGGUGUUGGGAGACAUAGCCCGGAGAUGGAUUCUGAGACACGAAUCCAGACCCUACGGGGUGCAGCAGGCGCGAAAACUUCACACUGCAGGAAACUGUGAUGAGGGAACUCCAAGUGCAUUCACUAUGUGGAUGCUUUUUUUGACUAUUAAUCGGUCAACGAAUAAGGGCUGGGAAAGACCGGUGCCAGCCGCCGCGGUAAUACCGGCAGCUCAAGUGGUCGUCGCUUUUAUUGGGCCUAAAACGUCCGUAGCCUGUUUGGUAAAUCUGUGGGUAAAUCAACCAGCUUAACUGGUUGAAUUCUGCAGAGACUGCCAGACUAGGGACCGGGAGAGGUGUGGGGUACUCUAGGGGUAGGGGUAAAAUCCUGUCAUCCUUAGAGGACCACCAGUUGCGAAGGCGCCACACUGGAACGGAUCCGACGGUCAGGGACGAAGCCUAGGGGCACGAACCGGAUUAGAUACCCGGGUAGUCCUAGGUGUAAACGCUGUGAACUUGGUGUCGGGGAUCCGCAAUGGGUCCUCGGUGCCGGAGUGAAGAUGUUAAGUUCACUGCCUGGGGAGUACGGUCGCAAGGCUGAAACUUAAAGGAAUUGGCGGGGGAGCACUGCAACGGGAGGAGCGUGCGGUUUAAUUGGAUUCAACGCCGGGA